RNAcentral lists this ribosomal RNA (377 nucleotides) under uncultured eukaryote. RNAcentral's name for it is "partial 18S ribosomal RNA". It matches the Rfam family "Eukaryotic small subunit ribosomal RNA", at positions 592 to 976 of the family's 1831-position model. The record is from RNAcentral.
CAAUAGCGUAUAUCAAAGUUGUUGCAGUUAAAAAGCUCGUAGUUGGAUUUCGGGGCAGCCUGGCUGGUCCGCCGCAAGGCGAGUACUGGUCAGCCGCCCUUCCUCUCGAAAGCCCCGACUGCUCUUCGUUGCAGUGGUCGGGUAGUUCGGGACGUUUACUUUGAAAAAAUUAGAGUGUUCAAGGCAGGCCUACGCCUGAAUACAUUAGCAUGGAAUAAUGGAAGAGGACCUCGGUCCUAUUUUGUUGGUUUCCAGGGCCGAAGUAAUGAUUAAGAGGGACAGUUGGGGGCAUUCGUAUUUAAUUGUCAGAGGUGAAAUUCUCGGAUUUAUGAAAGACGAACAACUGCGAAAGCAUUUGCCAAGGAUGUUUUCAUUAA